UACGUAGGGUGCAAGCGUUGUCCGGAAUUAUUGGGCGUAAAGAGCUCGUAGGCGGUCUGUUGCGUCGGCUGUGAAAACCCGGGGCUCAACUCCGGGCCUGCAGCCGAUACGGGCAGACUAGAGUUCGGCAGGGGAGACUGGAAUUCCUGGUGUAGCGGUGAAAUGCGCAGAUAUCAGGAGGAACACCGGUGGCGAAGGCGGGUCUCUGGGCCGAUACUGACGCUGGAGGGUGCGAAAAGCCGUGGGGAGCAAACAGG
This 257-nucleotide ribosomal RNA is filed under the name uncultured bacterium. RNAcentral describes it as "partial 16S ribosomal RNA". It matches the Rfam family "Bacterial small subunit ribosomal RNA", at positions 524 to 776 of the family's 1533-position model. The record is from RNAcentral.